GAGUUUGAUCCUGGCUCAGGACGAACGCUGGCGGCGUGCUUAACACAUGCAAGUCGAGCGGUAGGGCCCUUUCGGGGGUACACGAGCGGCGAACGGGUGAGUAACACGUGGGUAACCUGCCCUCAGCUCUGGGAUAAGCCCGGGAAACUGGGUCUAAUACCGGAUAUGACUCCGCAUCGCAUGGUGUGGGGUGGAAAGCCUUGUGCGGCUGAGGAUGGGCCCGCGGACUAUCAGCUUGUUGGUGGGGUAGUGGCCUACCAAGGCGACGACGGGUAGCCGGCCUGAGAGGGCGACCGGCCACACUGGGACUGAGACACGGCCCAGACUCCUACGGGAGGCAGCAGUGGGGAAUAUUGCGCAAUGGGCGAAAGCCUGACGCAGCGACGCCGCGUGAGGGAUGACGGCCUUCGGGUUGUAAACCUCUUUCAGCUCCGACGAAGCCUUCGGGUGACGGUAGGGGCAGAAGAAGCACCGGCCAACUACGUGCCAGCAGCCGCGGUAAUACGUAGGGUGCAAGCGUUGUCCGGAAUUAUUGGGCGUAAAGAGCUCGUAGGCGGUUUGUCGCGUCGACUGUGAAAACUCAGGGGCUCAACUCCGAGCUUGCAGUUGAUACGGGCAGACUAGAGUUCGGCAGGGGAGACUGGAAUUCCUGGUGUAGCGGUGAAAUGCGCAGAUAUCAGGAGGAACACCGGUGGCGAAGGCGGGUCUCUGGGCCGAUACUGACGCUGAGGAGCGAAAGCGUGGGGAGCGAACAGGAUUAGAUACCCUGGUAGUCCACGCCGUAAACGUUGGGCGCUAGGUGUGGGGUCCCUUUCCACGGGUUCCGUGCCGCAGCUAACGCAUUAAGCGCCCCCCCUGGGGAGUACGGCCCAAGGCUAAACUCAAGGAUUGACGGGGCCCGCACAA
This 906-nucleotide ribosomal RNA is filed under the name uncultured bacterium. RNAcentral describes it as "bacterial SSU rRNA". It matches the Rfam family "Bacterial small subunit ribosomal RNA", at positions 9 to 928 of the family's 1533-position model. The record is from RNAcentral.